GACGAACGCUGGCGGCGUGCUUAACACAUGCAAGUCGAACGGAAAGGCCCUGCUUGCAGGGUACUCGAGUGGCGAACGGGUGAGUAACACGUGGGUGAUCUGCCCUGCACUUCGGGAUAAGCCUGGGAAACUGGGUCUAAUACCGGAUAGGAGCCAUUUUUAGGGUGAUGGUUGGAAAGUUUUUUCGGUGUAGGAUGAGCUCGCGGCCUAUCAGCUUGUUGGUGGGGUAAUGGCCUACCAAGGCGGCGACGGGUAGCCGGCCUGAGAGGGUGGACGGCCACAUUGGGACUGAGAUACGGCCCAGACUCCUACGGGAGGCAGCAGUGGGGAAUAUUGCACAAUGGGCGGAAGCCUGAUGCAGCGACGCCGCGUGGGGGAUGACGGCCUUCGGGUUGUAAACUGCUUUCGCUAGGGACGAAGCUUGUUGUGACGGUACCUAGAGAAGAAGCACCGGCUAACUACGUG
This 465-nucleotide ribosomal RNA is filed under the name uncultured bacterium. RNAcentral describes it as "partial 16S ribosomal RNA". It matches the Rfam family "Bacterial small subunit ribosomal RNA", at positions 28 to 507 of the family's 1533-position model. The record is from RNAcentral.